GACGAACGCUGGCGGCGUGCUUAACACAUGCAAGUCGAACGGUGAACCAGAGCUUGCUCUGGGGAUCAGUGGCGAACGGGUGAGUAACACGUGGGCAACCUGCCCCAGACUCUGGGAUAACCCCCGGGAAACCGGAGCUAAUACCGGAUAUGACCACUUCGGACAUCCGAUGGUGGUGGAAAGUUUUUUCGGUCUGGGAUGGGCCCGCGGCCUAUCAGCUAGUUGGUGGGGUAAUGGCCUACCAAGGCGACGACGGGUAGCCGGCCUGAGAGGGCGACCGGCCACACUGGAACUGAGACACGGCCCAGACUCCUACGGGAGGCAGCAGUGGGGAAUUUUGGACAAUGGGCGGAAGCCUGAUCCAGCCAUGCCGCGUGAGUGAAGAAGGCCUGGUUGUAAG
RNAcentral lists this ribosomal RNA (400 nucleotides) under uncultured bacterium. RNAcentral describes it as "bacterial SSU rRNA". It matches the Rfam family "Bacterial small subunit ribosomal RNA", at positions 28 to 429 of the family's 1533-position model. The record is from RNAcentral.